Molecule: unclassified non-coding RNA, 4422 nt
Filed under: Hevea brasiliensis (rubber tree)
Lineage: Eukaryota; Viridiplantae; Streptophyta; Magnoliopsida; Malpighiales; Euphorbiaceae
Source: RNAcentral
UUUUUUUUUUUUUUUUGUUUUAAUUUUUUUUUUUUUUAAUUCUCGAGUCUACUUGGUUUAAACCCUUUGCACCUUUAUGUGAUUGCAUCAUGUUUCUUCCCUCAAAACACACCUAAGACAUUGCCGAGUUAGGAAUAAAAGAAGUAUCAAAUCUUUUACCAUUUAGGACUGCUUGGGCAAAUGAGCUGUCCUUAUUUGGCGGUGGCAAUUCAUCAAUGGAAAAUCUUGAGGGAAACGAUCCACUUAACUUAAGUGGAAGUGUAGAGGUAGGAACUUCUUCUUUGUCUAAACUUUGUUGCGAGAUGAGAGGUUUACUUAGGGAAGAAGCAAACUCUGAACUUUGGCCUAUCUUGCAAACUGAAGUUAAGGAACUGGUUAUGCCUCCCCCACCUCCAGUCCCUUUCAUGAAGCUAAUUUGAGUAGUGAGCAUGUCUAUCGACCUCCUGCACAUUUUCAUAAAAAAAUGAGGUAAUUGCAUUGAUUGAGUUAACAAUUGGACUUGUCCCAACUAGUCAAAAGAAUCUAUUAAUGAUUUUAUAGGUCAUUUACUUGCUCUUUGAAGAGAAUCAAGCAUAUUUUCAAUCUGAUUAAAGAAAGAUAUUCCAAUGCAAGAACCAAAAAUCUGGAAGUAGUUUAUUUCGAAAAUUUCAAACCUUGAUCAAUAACGUGAGCAUAACCCUUGAGUUAAUGCGUGUAUUCCAUUAACAUAAUACGAUUGAUACGGAAACAUUUUGUGCUGAUACUACAUUGCAAGAUUAUGAAUUAUAAGAAUUUACAUACACCAGAAUGCAUAUACCUAUUCAAUUAAUAAUUGACAUAUCAUUUUUACGAUCCUAUUACAACAUAUAGUUUCUUGAAUUCAGAUUGAUUGGGUUUAUGAAAAAAUAUAUACAUAGGGAUGUAGUUAAGAACUUUCCAUGCUUAUAAAACCCAAAUCUCUCCAGAUUCCUAGAUAAGAGCUUAAUUAAAGGUACCUAAAAAAGAAGGGAAAAAAGGGUACUAACAUUUAUGAGGAUACCUGUAACUCUGAGGCCACGUAGGAGUAGCAGACUCAAUACUAUGAUUUGAGAUGUGCGUAGGAGAAGAGUCAUCGGAUUCUGUAUCGUAAUGAUUUUCACAAGCCCUUUCUGCCAGGUUUUCUUCAUCGUCGGUUUGGAAUUCAUCACCGCGGUCACGACCCAGCAGAUCCUCAUCUCGCGUCAUUCUUUUUGCCUUAAUACUCACCAUAAAAACAAAACUAGAAAAAUCACAAGGGAAGGAACAGCUUGCUUCGUCUCUCGGAUUUCAUUACCGCUUGAAAUAAGUUUUGGAGAAAUCAAAGCGAGAGAAAGGCAAAAUGUUGGAACUGCAGCGAUUGAAGAGGCAUGAGACACAAAAGGCUACUUUCUUGUGUAAUUUCACACUUGUCAGUGUAAUUUGCUGUUUUUCCGGGCGGAUUUUGAAUCAACAAUAUUGACCCCGAUCCUACUAUUUAUAGCAAAAUGUAUUGCUAAAUCCCGGAAUGGCCCUCCUUUGAUCCAAUCAUUAUGGUCUAGUAAUGAAAUCAAAAGAACACCCUCAAGCAAUGUGCAUUUUAUGCGCUUGAGAUGAUAAUGUUAAUAAAGGCAAGGACACAAGAGAGAAUGAGAGACUAAGCAAAGAUUAAAAUUACAUAUCACAAUAUUGGAGUUUAUUUUAUUCGGAUCCUUUCAUGUGUGGUGCCACAUGAUAGGUCUCAUGAUAGAGAAAUGAAUUCAUAAUUAAAAUUUUACAAGGGGGCAUGAUUGUUUUAUGUGAUAAGAUUCUAAUAGUAAUUCAAUUGACCAAGACCCAUCAUGUUAAUAGCAAACUUGAGAGGAUCCCAGUACUAUUACUGAGCUCUUUUGUCAAUUUGAUUGAGUUUGCCAAGACCAUUGCAACGAGGACAAACGAUCUGAGCCUGGUCUUUCCGAGCAGCAUUAACCCUCAAAGCUGCUCCUGACUUCCUAAUGAAACCUGCUCCAUCACACUCGGGACACAAGUCCUUGCGAGAGAAAACGAUGGGGAAGGCGGUUCCAAGUAGAGCUACAGCAGCUGCACCCGCAAUAAGAUAGGUUGUGCCAUCAGCAGAUACAUCUCCAACUGCUGCAACAACCGUCAACGAUCUCUUCUUCUUGUGGCCCCAGUUACACGAUACAACUCUUGAACCUGCAGGCCUUGGUAGAGCACAAAUGCAAGAGCCUGGAACUGCACAUUUCUUGGGUGAAUUUCCAGCAAAACUCUGCAGAUGAGCUAACGUUGCCAUCUAUGCCCACUUGAAGAUUUUCCACUCCAAAUUCAAGACAAAUUACUUAAAUUGGCUACAGAAAUGGAAUCGGAUUAAAGAUAAAAAGAAAAAAAGCCGACAGAGGUUUGAUGGCCUAGCUUGCAUCUGGUUAUGGCGUAUGGAUUUAGUUGUUACCAAUUGGAUAAGGCCACGUAGAGCUCAGGAUUCAUGUGGUUGAAUGGAUAAGGUUGGUCCCAUAUCUUCACUGAACCAAUGAAGCCAUGUUUAGCGUUUGCAAACCCUAUUUCGUUUACCACAAUCACAUCAAGGGCACCUCUCUUCGCUCACGCAUAUCUAAGAAUUGUAGACUUUUUAAGGUUUUAUAACCACGUCCAAAAAUCCUGAUGCUGCCACACAAACGACAAGAAAAGAAAAUGACAAGUUUCUUCAACUUUCGAGCAGCAUGCUAUUUACCGCAUACCAAAAACACAAGUACCACAAAUUCCAGGUAAUUUUAGUUAUGCAUGUUUUAUCUCUCUCGACAGGAUAUGAACACAGCAGGAUUGCCCCAUUAAACCAAUUAGCUUAGCUGUAAAAUCAGGAACUGCCAAAAGGAGAAAAAGCCACUGUGUGAAACUUAUUUGCACUCUAUGGAUCUGAGCAAAAUAAACUGAUGUACCUGCUCAAAAAAAAUCAAAGCACAGGGGCAAUGUGGCAAUCACAACUGAUUUUGUAUUUGAUGCCUUCAUUUCCAGCCACACAAUAUGACGACAGGGGCCUCGCUGGCAGAUCAAACAUGUGGACUCUUUCUCUUUCCUAAGCGGGUUGUUGUCCUUACCGAAAGCUAAUUGCUUGUUAUAUGCUGGCCUUCCGAGUUUCCAUGAAUGCAUUAAGAUAUCCUGAUGAUGCCAUACUGUGCAUUGGCCAUCAAGACUCGUGUAUCUGCUGUUAGAAGUGCAGAUCUGCUUCCUCAAUGCUCACAGUUUUAUUAGCAAAUUAACAGAAGUUCCACCAAAGCCACCUGAUCCAAUUCUAAAUCACAGACAACAUGAAGAAUGACAAGCGAAAAUAAUAAAAAUAAACAUCUUUCAUUCUUUAUCUCUAAUCCUGAUAGGUACAAUGUAAACAAAAAUCAUAUUGGUACCAUACACAUUUCUUAACAUUAUAUCAAGAGCACAUGAUCAUGGUUUAUUACCACCAACGUCUUCAUGCCUUCAAUGCUAUCCAACUAAUGUAAUGGCUAGCUUCUCAGUGGCAUAUAUUGUAUUGAAGACAAUUUAUCCAUACUUCAUAUAAGCCAAAAUUAAACAAUUAAGGAUAAUAAUAAUAAUAUAUAUAAAAAAAAAAGAAAACUGAAAGCCAAAAUCAGAUAACUUCGUCACAAAUUUCGGUUGAUACUUUCAGAUACAAGUAGAAUCCAAAUGUAGAGCAAAGACAUCAACAAUUGUUUAUCCAUUUAGAUGGUGGCAGCUAAGGCUACAUUGAUGUGGUUUUAGCAGUAAGCAUGUCCACAUGAAAUGUGUACACUUCCAGACUGAAAGUUGAGUGCAGCUUGAGAUUUUUUUCACAUUGCAUAAUGUAUGCCUCUAUCAAACUUGCAGCGUAAAAGGAAAAAGGAAGAAGGAAGAAAACAAGUUUAACUCAGCCACAUAUUAAUUCUGAAAGAGUUAUAGUCAGGCACUGCACUUGAGAUGUUUUAUAACUAGAAUCCUCUACUAAUAGGACACAUAUUAGAAUGUUGCAGAAAUUAAAGGUUCCAUAUAUAUGACUACCAUCCUAGGCAUAUUAAGUAAUAAUGACAGGGAGAAGACGAUGACAAUUCUCAGAUUAGUCAUCCAUCUUUUAGAGCUAAAAUAUUUCUCACAUGUUAUGAGUCAUAUUUCAAAAAUACUGAUUGACAUUUGACACUGUAAUUUAACUUAGCAGUAAAUUAUAUAACAAAGUUAUAGUUAAAUGAAAUAAAAAAGCCAUUCCUUUCAGGAAAAAAAAAUUGUGAGGAAGAUACUGGAAUUCAUUAACUUUGUCUGAUGUCUAACAAUGCAUAAAUCAAUGUUGGCACCAACAUCAUUGAAAAUUUGUAUAGUGUUGAUGUGAAAUGGCAAAUAAAAAUUGAUGAAUAAGACAUUAGCCUUCCCACAUGCACAAACUGUAGGAUAAAUUUCAACAAUUGUUCAUGAACUUAUAUAGUUGUAACACUA